AGAAAACACCUCUUGACCUCAAAUCGGGUGAGACUA
RNAcentral lists this ribosomal RNA (36 nucleotides) under Lactifluus inversus. RNAcentral's name for it is "partial 28S large subunit ribosomal RNA". Lineage: Eukaryota; Fungi; Basidiomycota; Agaricomycetes; Russulales; Russulaceae. The record is from RNAcentral.